GAUAGUGUCUAUUUAUUUUUGGGUUGCCAAUUGGCGUGAAAUUAAUCUUAGUGAGCUCUUAUUUCACUGUCAAUAAAAGCAGCAAACCAUUUCAAAAUAAAAACAUAAAAAGUGAUUGUUGAUUGAACAUGCAGUUUUUCUGUACUCUGUUUUUUAAUAAACUUUUUUAUACAAACAUUUUUGCCAAACAGUUUUGCUAGUUUUUAAUACCAUACUGAGGCAAGGAAUCACAUUAUCUUACCAAAAACAAGAGCGCUACGAAUACAAGCACCUACUGAGGGUCAAUCCACAAUAUGCCACGUAUCCACUGGGUGGUUGUGCGUUGACUAGAAUCCUGCAAGCUGGAUGGCGUCCUUCUGGAUCCAAAACAAAAGUCUGACUAUAUAUAUAUUGGUGGAUUCAAUGAUAUCUCUACUGAAUGCUAUCACUAAAGCCAAGGGAUUUUAGAACACGCCACACAAGGAUGGAACUUGUUUUCGUGUAUUGACCAAUUAUUUCUAAAGAUCUCAAAAAAGCGGGUAGCAGGUGCUCCAUAUUUGGGCAAAUCAGGUUUGGUCAUAGCCGGUCAAAAGUUAAUCAGGAUGUUGUUACAGAAGACGGCCGUGUCUGUCACGGCCGAGAAUCCAUAAAUCUGGCGGGUGUCGUCUGCGGAGACGCCGUCGACCCAGUGGUGUUGCAAGAUGUCUUGCCAGGCAGUUUGCAUGUGUGAGCAGACGUUCCCGGUAUUGACUUGAGGAUUGACUAAUCGUCUCCGUUACUGUCGGCACUCCCGUGUCCUGGAAUAUACAUAAAUCGGUUUUCUACAUAAUGGUGCCACUUCACCCCCAGCAUCCUCCUGAGAGCCUUUGUAAUGCACGUUUGCACUCUUUUUAGUGACGAAUCACAGGCCGUGCCCCAGCAAGUGACUCCCCAGUUUAAAGUUGGAAAGACAAAGGCCUUAAAAAGCCGCACCUUGGCUUCAAGGGAUAGGCCGCUACCUGGACGAAGGAGCCAGUCCAUUUUGUCAAGUUUUGUUCUUGCUGAUCCACAAACUCGAUCAAUUUGUCCCUUCCAACAGAGGUGACGGUCUAAGGUAACUCCGAGGUACGUCACCUUACCUUCCUGCUUGAGCCUAUUCCCAUCGAUGUAAAGACUACGCGAACGGCCAGGGCGGAGAGCAAAUGUGGCAUGCUGCGUUUUGUCAACAUUAAGCGCAAUGUCCCAUCGAGAGGCCCAGCACUCAAAUUCGUCUAAGAAUGUCUGGACACGUCGGGAGGCAGACGUAGUGGUGCUACCAGCAGCAAGAAAUGCAGUGUCAUCUGCAUAUGUGGCCAGGAGUGUACCACGAGCAACUGGGCUUGGAAGACUUGUUCGUAUGAAACAAACUACACUAAACUAUAUGUAUUAUUAUAUUUUAAGCCGUUCAAAAUUGUAAGAUUAUUUUUACAUUUUGAAAUGGACUCUGCAUAAAAUAAGCGUGGCUGGCCGAGGUUCCUUUCUAUUUUAAAUUGAUGUUUUUUUUAUAUUUGGCAUAACG
This is a long non-coding RNA of Drosophila rhopaloa, 1516 nucleotides long. RefSeq lists it as uncharacterized. The record is from RefSeq and is a predicted model, not a curated record. NCBI's taxonomy places the organism in Eukaryota, Metazoa, Arthropoda, Insecta, Diptera, Drosophilidae. The transcript is spliced from 3 exons.